AUACGGAGGAUGCAAGCGUUAUCCGGAUUUAUUGGGUUUAAAGGGUGCGUAGGCGGUUUGCUAAGCGGGAGGUGAAAUGCCGGCGCUCAACGUCGGAAGUGCCUCCCGAACUGGUGGACUGGAAUGACUCUGCCGUGGGAGGAAUGUGUAGUGUAGCGGUGAAAUGCUUAGAGAUUACACAGAACACCGAUUGCGAAGGCAUCUAACGAAGGGUUGAUUGACGCUGAGGCACGAAAGCGUGGGGAUCAAACAGGAUUAGAUACCCUGGUAGUCCACGCAGUAAACGAUGAUGGCUAACCGCUGGUUUAUUCGGAUCAGUGGCCAAGCGAAAGCGAUAAGCCAUCCACCUGGGGAGUACGACCGCAAGGUUGAAACUCAAAUGAAUUGGCGGGG
RNAcentral lists this ribosomal RNA (393 nucleotides) under uncultured bacterium. RNAcentral's name for it is "partial 16S ribosomal RNA". It matches the Rfam family "Bacterial small subunit ribosomal RNA", at positions 523 to 918 of the family's 1533-position model. The record is from RNAcentral.